This 320-nucleotide ribosomal RNA is filed under the name uncultured eukaryote. Its description in RNAcentral is "partial 18S ribosomal RNA". It matches the Rfam family "Eukaryotic small subunit ribosomal RNA", at positions 1470 to 1796 of the family's 1831-position model. The record is from RNAcentral.
CCCCUAGAUGUUCUGGGCCGCACGCGCGCUACACUGAACAGUUCAACAAGUCUUAACCUUGGCCGAUAGGUCUGGGUAAUCUUUGAACGCUGUUCGUGAUUGGGAUAGACCUUUGCAAUUAUGGGUCUUCAACGAGGAAUUCCUAGUAAACGCAAGUCAUCAGCUUGCAUUGAUUACGUCCCUGCCCUUUGUACACACCGCCCGUCGCACCUACCGAUUGAAUGAUCCGGUGAAAUCUCGGGACGGCGGCUUGGUCGCUUGCGUCCGACUGCUGAAACUUGAUUAAACCAUAUCAUUUAGAGGAAGGUGAAGUCGUANCA